CUGAUCGGCCACAUUGGGACUGAGACCCGGCCCAAAUUCCUACGGGAGGCUGCAGUAGGGAAUCUUCCACAAUGGGCGAAAGCCUGAUGGAGCAACGCCGCGUGUGUGAUGAAGGCUUUCGGGUCGUAAAGCACUGUUGUAUGGGAAGAAAAGUUAAGGUAGGGAAUGACCUUAGCCUGACGGUACCAUACCAGAAAGGGACGGCUAAAUACGUGCCAGCAGCCGCGGUAAUACGUAUGUCCCGAGCGUUAUCCGGAUUUAUUGGGCGUAAAGCGAGCGCAGACGGUUGGUUAAGUCUGAUGUGAAAGCCCGGAGCUCAACUCCGGAAAGGCAUUGGAAACUGGUUAACUUGAGUGCAGUAGAGGUAAGUGGAACUCCAUGUGUAGCGGUGGAAUGCGUAGAUAUAUGGAAGAACACCAGCGGCGAAGGCGGCUUACUGGACUGUAACUGACGUUGAGGCUCGAAAGUGUGGGUAGCAAACAGGAUUAGAUACCCUGGUAGUCCACACCGUAAACGAUGAACACUAGGUGUUAGGAGGUUUCCGCCUCUUAGUGCCGAAGCUAACGCAUUAAGUGUUCCGCCUGGGGAGUACGACCGCAAGGUUGAAACUCAAAGGAAUUGACGGGGACCCGCACAAGCGGUGGAGCAUGUGGUUUAAUUCGAAGCAACGCGAAGAACCUUACCAGGUCUUGACAUCCUUUGAAGCUUUUAGAAAUAGAAGUGUUCUCUUCGGAGACAAAGUGACAGGUGGUGCAUGGUCGUCGUCAGCUCGUGUCGUGAGAUGUUGGGUUAAGUCCCGCAACGAGCGCAACCCUUAUUGUUAGUUGCCAGCAUUCAGAUGGGCACUCUAGCGAGACUGCCGGUGACAAACCGGAGGAAGGCGGGGACGACGUCAGAUCAUCAUGCCCCUUAUGACCUGGGCUACACACGUGCUACAAUGGCGUAUACAACGAGUUGCCAACCUGCGAAGGUGAGCUAAUCUCUUAAAGUACGUCUCAGUUCGGACUGCAGUCUGCAACUCGACUGCACGAAGUCGGAAUCGCUAGUAAUCGCGGAUCAGCACGCCGCGGUGAAUACGUUCCCGGGUCUUGUACACACCGCCCGUCACACCAUGGAAGUUUGUAAUGCCCAAAGCCGGUGGCCUAACCGUAAGGAGGGAACCGUCUAAGGC
RNAcentral lists this ribosomal RNA (1171 nucleotides) under Leuconostoc carnosum. RNAcentral describes it as "bacterial SSU rRNA". It matches the Rfam family "Bacterial small subunit ribosomal RNA", at positions 300 to 1463 of the family's 1533-position model. Lineage: Bacteria; Bacillati; Bacillota; Bacilli; Lactobacillales; Lactobacillaceae. The record is from RNAcentral.